AAAGGAGAUCAGAGAAGGAAUUAAACCCUUUAACGGUCGCGCAAGGAGCGAACAAGGAGCCUGUACACGUGUCGCUGUGUUACUGUGCAACGUACUAUAGAAAGAAAAUCGCUGGUAGGUCAUCCCUCGCACCGGAAGAUCUUUUUUUCUCUCGCUCCCUCUCAUUUUCCCACCCCAACCUAGGGUUGCCGCCGCCACCGCCGCCCCCAUCGCUCCUCUAGCGCUGCCCAUCGGAGGACGGCUCACUUCUCCUCUGCUUCUUCUUUCACCCUGCUCCAUCCCGACCAGCGCCACCCCCGCCCCUUUUCUCUCGUCGGCUAUUGUCGAUGAGCAUGGCGGCGGCGGCGUUGAGAGCCUCAUGGGGGACAUCCAGGCAGAUGAAGGGGUGGCGGCAUGGAUCUGGUGACGGUGGUGUCGGAGCUUGAGGCCGAGAGGACUUCGACCCUAGGCCCUCGCCGUCUGCCUCCUUUUCAUCUUUUUUUGCUCGUGCUGCUCGUUAUCUACAUGGGUCGUCGACGAAGAAGUCAGGGAGGAGCGGAUGCUAUCUAGGGAGGUGGCUCGGACCAGAUCGACCAUGGCGAUGGCAUCGUUGACUCCCUGCUGGCCUUGCAGUUUUGCAAUUUAGGUAUCAAAGGAAUUAGGUAUUAUCAGCAUGAAUACUAUUUACACAGUCUGUUCUUUUAUUUAGAUUGACCGUCUUUGAAGUAAUUGACAUGUAGACUGCUGCAAAAUGAAUCAGUAAUGUUUAAAUUAACUUUAAAAACUUGCCAGGUUGGAUAUAUCUUUGUCAGAUAUUUAUAUCAUUGUUUUUCUUCUGUUCAUUUGUUGGGUAGGGCCGAGACCAGUGGGUUCAUUGCUAGGGGCUAUUGUAUUUGUCUUGCUACCGACUGUAGAUGUGAUCACUGAUUCUCAUUGACUGUAGUUGUAGUUUCAGAAGUAGGAUGGCUAGCAGUCAUCAUAUAUUGGUUAAGUUGCAUUUGUUUUGGGUACAACAAGAUGAUGAUCAAGAGAAUCCCGAUGAAAAGCAUCAUGCUGAUUCUGAUGUGGAAAUAGAUGAUGCCAAGCCUUUGGAGGAAUCUGAAAGGAGAAGCAAUACUCAAGAGUGCGAGAGUUGACAGAGAAUGUGCGAGAGUUAAGCAGUAUUGUAGUAGAUCACAUUUCAGGGAUACCAUUGAUUUAUUUUGCUCUUCUUACUUUUAUUAGAUAGGCCACAUUCUUUUUCUUUUACUCGUGCCUUUGUUGCUGACGGUGCUGUUGUGUAAAUUCAACAUUGAUGUUUAGUGUUAUGACAUGGUUUACACAAGCUGAAAUUUUGAUCCCUUGGAUGUUGCAGGUGCUGACAAUCUAAUUCCGAUGGAACUGGCCCUUAAAAUUACAACCAAGAUUACAGUUGGUAUGAGUUACUUGCUGAGAGUCAGAAAUUACAACCAAGAUUUUGUAACACGACUUUUAAACCAAGAGAUUUUUCAUCUUAGAUGCUACCGACAUGAGCUGGUAAUGUCGUGCUACCAUGGAGAAAACAUAGCUAGGGCGCUCCCCGGCCUGGAGCUCUGCUACUCCAUGACGCGGAGGUUCCUCGACAAGCAGACGGCGGUGGUCGGGCAGGUGUAGCCCGCGGCAGCGCUGCCCAUCCUGGACUGGAAGAUCUCCGUUCCUGGUAAUACUUGUUUCCUGUACACCUGCUUUUUUAUUUUGGUAAGGUUUCAUUUUUCGGGUGGUGCCAACGGUGGAACUUUGUUCUUGUUAUUUGGUGUGCGGGCUCUCUGAUUUUGAGAUGACUAGAGGUAAACUUCAGUUCAGAGUAUUAGAUUGUUUGGUUUAAUUAAGUCAGUGGGUGAGGGGUUUCAUGUUUAGAUUUCAGUGUAGUAUAGUAGUAUCCUGAAUUCUUAUGCUGUAAUGUGAAUUCUAAAGAUAUAAGAAAUCCAUGCAGAAUAUUUUGCUGUUUGCACCAAACAAUAUGCAUCCAAGUUAUUGCACAUUAAUGGGGAAUUAUGUAACCAGUAGUACGCGACAUUUUAUAUGAAUGUAUGAUUUUGAUCAUUCAUGUUCCCUCCGAAUCUUGCUUAUUAACAACACUUUUCUCAGUUUGUUCCAUGUAUAUAGUGUAUUAGACUACUGUUCACUAUCUAUCAAUCCUAUCUUCAUGUACCUGUGUGUGUUUGGUACAGUACUUGAUCUCUUAUGAUUUAGGGAGCUCUUCAGAAUCUGAGAAGAAAUUGAUAGGACCAUCCCGAUGUCUGGGUUUCGGCAUGGUGGUGAGGUGCCUGAGGUCAUGGCUCUGAGUCAGGAACCUCUUAUUGAGCGUGCUUCAUGGUGGUGACGUAUGUCUCGAUGAUAGUCCAGUUUGAUAAAAUGCCAAUAGGAGCAGGUCUGUGAAGCCAAUAGGAGCCGGUCAGUAAACUAGUGAUGCAGUCUCACUGUUCAUCGUCUCUAGACGCACCUAUAUGAUCCAUGUAUCUAGUUUCUCUCCAAAACUUGUGAUGCCUGCGUUGUGAUGAUCCGAGUAACUCUGCCUCUAUUUUGGAGAUCGCCCAUCUUUUGGAGACCGCUGAACUUUGAUUUGAACCGCUGAAUGUGUCUUUGUGAUCAGUCAUCCACUUUGUAAGAUUGUCAA
Aegilops tauschii subsp. strangulata is the source of this 2614-nucleotide non-coding RNA. The record is from RefSeq and is a predicted model, not a curated record. NCBI's taxonomy places the organism in Eukaryota, Viridiplantae, Streptophyta, Magnoliopsida, Poales, Poaceae.